CGGCGGACGGGUGAGUAAUGUCUGGGAAACUGCCCGAUGGAGGGGGAUAACUACUGGAAACGGUAGCUAAUACCGCAUAAUGUCUGCGGACCAAAGCGGGGGACCUCCGGGCCUCGCGCCAUCAGAUGAACCCAUAUGGGAUUAGCUAGUAGGUAAGGUAACGGCUUACCUAGGCGACGAUCCCUAGCUGGUCUGAGAGGAUGAUCAGCCACACUGGGACUGAGACACGGCCCAG
This 235-nucleotide ribosomal RNA is filed under the name uncultured bacterium. Its description in RNAcentral is "partial 16S ribosomal RNA". It matches the Rfam family "Bacterial small subunit ribosomal RNA", at positions 96 to 334 of the family's 1533-position model. The record is from RNAcentral.